UACGUAGGGGCCCAGCGUUGUCCGGAUUUACUGGGCGUAAAGGGCGCGCAGGCGGUCGUUCAAGUCGAGUGUGAAAGCCCCCGGCUCAACUGGGGAGGGUCAUUCGAUACUGAUCGACUGGAAGGCAGGAGAGGGAAGCGGAAUUCCCGGUGUAGUGGUGAAAUGCGUAGAUAUCGGGAGGAACACCAGUGGCGAAAGCGGCUUCCUGGUCCAGCACCGACAUUCAGGCACGAAAGCGUGGGGAGCAAACAGG
This 253-nucleotide ribosomal RNA is filed under the name uncultured bacterium. RNAcentral's name for it is "partial 16S ribosomal RNA". It matches the Rfam family "Bacterial small subunit ribosomal RNA", at positions 524 to 776 of the family's 1533-position model. The record is from RNAcentral.